RNAcentral lists this ribosomal RNA (1356 nucleotides) under uncultured soil bacterium. RNAcentral's name for it is "bacterial SSU rRNA". It matches the Rfam family "Bacterial small subunit ribosomal RNA", at positions 28 to 1381 of the family's 1533-position model. The record is from RNAcentral.
AUUGAACGCUGGCGGAAUGCUUUACACAUGCAAGUCGAACGGCAGCACGGGGGCAACCCUGGUGGCGAGCGGCGAACGGGUGAGUAAUGUAUCGGAACGUACCCCGUCGUGGGGGAUAACUCUCCGAAAGGAGAGCUAAUACCGCAUACGACCUGAGGGUGAAAGCGGGGGACCUGCAAGGGCCUCGCGCGAUGGGAGCGGCCGAUAUCGGAUUAGCUAGUUGGUGAGGUAAAGGCUCACCAAGGCGACGAUCCGUAGCGGGUCUGAGAGGACGACCCGCCACACUGGAACUGAGACACGGUCCAGACUCCUACGGGAGGCAGCAGUGGGGAAUUUUGGACAAUGGGGGAAACCCUGAUCCAGCCAUUCCGCGUGAGUGAAGAAGGCCUUCGGGUUGUAAAGCUCUUUCAGCAGGAACGAAACGGUAGGCUUUAAUACAGUUUGCUAAUGACGGUACCUGCAGAAGAAGCACCGGCUAACUACGUGCCAGCAGCCGCGGUAAUACGUAGGGUGCGAGCGUUAAUCGGAAUUACUGGGCGUAAAGCGUGCGCAGGCGGCGACAUAAGACAGAUGUGAAAUCCCCGGGCUCAACCUGGGAACUGCGUUUGUGACUGUGUUGCUAGAGUGUAGCAGAGGGGGGUGGAAUUCCACGUGUAGCAGUGAAAUGCGUAGAGAUGUGGAGGAACACCGAUGGCGAAGGCAGCCCCCUGGGUUAACACUGACGCUCAUGCACGAAAGCGUGGGGAGCAAACAGGAUUAGAUACCCUGGUAGUCCACGCCCUAAACGAUGCCAACUAGGUGUUGGGGGAGGAGACUUCCUUAGUACCGUAGCUAACGCGUGAAGUUGGCCGCCUGGGGAGUACGGUCGCAAGAUUAAAACUCAAAGGAAUUGACGGGGACCCGCACAAGCGGUGGAUGAUGUGGAUUAAUUCGAUGCAACGCGAAAAACCUUACCUACCCUUGACAUGUCCGGAAUCCUGAAGAGAUUUGGGAGUGCUCGAAAGAGAACCGGAACACAGGUGCUGCAUGGCCGUCGUCAGCUCGUGUCGUGAGAUGUUGGGUUAAGUCCCGCAACGAGCGCAACCCUUAUCAUUAGUUGCUACGCAAGGGCACUCUAAUGAGACUGCCGGUGACAAACCGGAGGAAGGUGGGGAUGACGUCAGGUCAUCAUGGCCCUUAUGGGUAGGGCUACACACGUCAUACAAUGGCCGGUACAGAGGGCUGCCAACCCGCGAGGGGGAGCUAAUCUCAGAAAACCGGUCGUAGUCCGGAUCGCAGUCUGCAACUCGACUGCGUGAAGUCGGAAUCGCUAGUAAUCGCGGAUCAGCUUGCCGCGGUGAAUACGUUCCCGGGUCU